Acanthosepion pharaonis is the source of this 109-nucleotide non-coding RNA. The record is from the annotation of a GenBank genome assembly. Lineage: Eukaryota; Metazoa; Mollusca; Cephalopoda; Sepiida; Sepiidae.
UUACGGUCAUAUCACGUUGAAACUUCGGUUCCCGUACGAUCACUGAAGUUAAACAACGCCAAGCCUGAUCUGUAUCGAGAUGGGGGAUUCCAUCAGAAUACCAGGUACU